CCUUCACUUACCACAAACAACAGGAUCUCUGUUGCCAUCUGGCCAUUGAGUGAUCCAGUUCCAGAAUCUCAUCCUGAGAGUCGGCUUCCUAGAACGAAUUCCAGUACCUAAGAUUACUGACAUCAGAAACAGCCGCCCAUGUGUUCUGCUUUACUUCUCUGUAGGCGAGCCCUGGUUUUGAAGGGAGAAUCUGCCUAGUCAAGCUCUCCUGUGACCAGUUUAUGGUAGAAGCAUGACUCAAAAGAAAAUCAAGUUAGCCUACAAAUGCCAACGUUUUCUGAUGACAAAAAAAAAGCUACUAGUCUUAAAAACUGAAAGAUACUGAAUUAAACAUAUAUGGCUACAAUACAAAUCAAUUUCAAAUGCUUUAUGUUGGACUGAAAACAGGAGCUAUUCUUCAGCAUCUCUGCUGCUUAAUAUUUACGAGUUGCUAAGAAGACAACAUAUACACUUCAACAUGAAAGAAGACAAGUUUACCGAUCAUCUCUUUUUUUCUUUUCUC
This 502-nucleotide long non-coding RNA is filed under the name Equus caballus (horse). Its description in RNAcentral is "lncRNA (ENSECAG00000052414.1)". Lineage: Eukaryota; Metazoa; Chordata; Mammalia; Perissodactyla; Equidae. The record is from RNAcentral.